UCCUCACUUGUCCGCUAUUUGACCCUCCUCAGAUGAGAACAAUGCUGAAACUGACCACGUGCGAUUGAAACUGUGUUAAGCUUCAAGAUCAAAGAACAAGGACAAGAAUAAAGACUUCAAGGACAGCCA
Molecule: long non-coding RNA, 129 nt
Organism: Aquila chrysaetos chrysaetos
Lineage: Eukaryota; Metazoa; Chordata; Aves; Accipitriformes; Accipitridae
Exons: 2
Source: RefSeq, a predicted model, not a curated record